Cyprinus carpio (common carp) is the source of this 583-nucleotide long non-coding RNA. RefSeq lists it as uncharacterized. The transcript has 5 exons. The record is from RefSeq and is a predicted model, not a curated record. NCBI's taxonomy places the organism in Eukaryota, Metazoa, Chordata, Actinopteri, Cypriniformes, Cyprinidae.
UCGAUGCAGAAAACUCUGUUUGCUGGAUAGAGCGUUGUAUUGUGUGUUUUUUCUUCAGCGGAGCAUGAUGGUCAUGGAGGUGAAUGAAUGGUUUAUCAAUGGACUGUAAAAAGAGACACUAAUUUACCUUUCAAUUGCCUAAGGAAAACAACCUGACAGAGAAAUGUAUGGAUUCAUCAACACAUGUCUGAAGUCUCUAGUGAUUGACAGAUUUGGAGAAGAGACGUGGGACAAACUCAGGGAUUCAGCAAAGGUUCAAGACACUUUCAUGACUUAUGAAGUGUACACAGAUAACAUCACCAUGCAAUUAGUGACAGAGGCCUGCAAGAUGCUCCACCUUGAGCAAAGUGGUGGUUCUGGGGCAGUUUGGAGAAUAUUUCUUUGAGUUCUGCAAAAGGGCUGGAUAUGAUCAUAUGCUGCGCACUCUUGGAGGAAAUCUGUUUGAGUUCAUGGAGAACCUGGACGCGCUGCACGGCUUUCUCUCUCUUUCCUACAAGGAAAUGAAUGCACCAUCAUUCCGUGUAGAAAAAAACAAUGAUGGCACUUUGCUGUUACACUACUACUCAGACCGACGAGGUCUUUG